ACCUGGUUGAUCCUGCCAGUAGUGAUAUGCUUGUCUAAAAGAUUAAGCCAUGCAAGUGCGAGUGAUUCGGAGCAUCACUUUUCGGAGGGAAGGCUCGAGGAUGACUGCGAAAGGCUCAUUAAAACAGUUAUGGAUCUGGAUGGUCAGAAGAAGAAGAGGAGGAUAAGGGUGUGAAAAUAGAGCUAAAACGAGGGAGGGGGAUCUCGAACGAUGGUUUUUUUACCGUAGAGGAAGGGAUUUCUAGAAUUUCAUAGGAGAUAUGAGAGGGAGCAUGUGAAUAUUUGACCUAUCAACUGGGGAUGGUAGUAUAGAGGACUACGAUGGUGGUGACGGGUGACGGAGGAUCAGGGUUUGGUACCGGAGAGGGGGCCUGAGAGAUGGCCACCACUUCUAAGGAAGGCAGCAGGCGCGAAAAUUACCCAAUGUUGGAACAGUGAGGUAGUGACGAGGAAUAGCGGAGAGAGAGCCUAAAGGGUUUUUUGUUUGCAAUGGAAGGAGGAUAGAGAGGUUCUUGAGGAACGAUCAGAGGGAAAGUCUGGUGCCAGCAGCCGCGGUAAUUCCAGCUCUGAAAGCGUAUACUAGAGUUGUUGCGGUUAAAAAGCUCGUAGUUGGGGGGGGGAGACAUUGAGGAAAAUAGAGUGUUUAAGGGUGAAGUGGGAGAGCAUGGGACGUCCGUCGGUUUGAGGGAUCAAACAAGAAGAGAAUAGAAACAAUAGAGGAUAUUAGUAUUUUAUAGUUAGAGGUGAAAUUCUAUGAUUUAUGAAAGACUAACAGGGGCGAAAGCAUUUAUCUCUGGUAAGUUUAUUGAUAAAGAACGAAAGUUAGGGGAUCGAAGAUGAUUAGAUACCGUCGUAGUCCUAGACUAUAAACAAUACUAACUAUGGAUUUGGGGGGCUGACAUCUCUAUUGAGGGUUGAAAGAGCGCGUGAGGACGUGGAGCGAGAAAUCAUUGAGUAUUUGAGUUCCGGGGGGAGUAUGGUUGCAAGACUGAAACUUAAAGGAAUUGACGGAGGGGCACCACAAGGCGUGGAGCUUGCGGCUUAAUUUGACUCAACACGGAGAAACUUACCAGACCAAGACAUUCAGAGGAUUGACAGACGAGGAGGUUUUUCGAGAUAGGAUGGGAGGUGGUGCAUGGCCGUUCUUAGUUGGUGGAGUGAUUGUCAGGUUAAUUCACGAUAACGAACGAGAUUUUAGUGAGAGAGACGCCUGGAUGAAAGGAAUUCGUGGAGGAGGUUAAAUCAGAUGGAUAGGAAGAUAUACUAUAGGAAGAUUAAAGUGAUAACAGGUCUGUGAUGCCCUUAGAUGGUUUGGGCUGCACGCGUGCUACAAUGAUAGAGAGAGAAAGAAAGUCUUCUUCUUUUUGGAGGAGAGAAAGGGGAUCGAAGGAUCGUCAUUGAUUCAGAGAAUCUAUCAAGAAUGGGGGAUUAACGAUUGGAAUUAUUCGUUAUGAACACGGAAUGCCUAGUAAGUAUAAGUCAACAGGUUAUAUUGAUUAGGUCCCUGCCUCUUGUACACACCGCCCGUCGCUGCUACCGAUUGAAUAGGAAAUGUGAAAUGGGAGGACGGGAGACUCUGGGAAGAGAGGAACGGAAAACUAUUGAAUGUUUAUAUUUAGAGGAAGCAAAAGUCGUAACAAGGUUUCCGUAGGUGAACCAGCGGAAG
Molecule: ribosomal RNA, 1665 nt
Filed under: Vannella sp. strain W181G/I
Lineage: Eukaryota; Discosea; Flabellinia; Vannellidae
Description: bacterial SSU rRNA
Rfam family: Eukaryotic small subunit ribosomal RNA
Source: RNAcentral